AUAUUUCCUCGGCAAAGCUAGGGAAACCUAGUGACGCAAAGCUUGAGUCUAAAGUUAUCUAAAAGGUAAUUAUGAUCGUUCAGCUGCAUAA
This 91-nucleotide non-coding RNA is filed under the name Tissierella praeacuta. RNAcentral describes it as "c-di-GMP sequence". It matches the Rfam family "c-di-GMP-I riboswitch aptamer". Rfam says of the family: GEMM was predicted in a large-scale screen for bacterial structured RNA regulatory elements. Genes associated with GEMM are involved in a diverse array of functions, including chemotaxis regulation, signal transduction, secretion and chitin. The record is from RNAcentral. Lineage: Bacteria; Bacillati; Bacillota; Tissierellia; Tissierellales; Tissierellaceae. RNAcentral also lists the same sequence under 1 other name.